GGGGGUGAUUUGGCUGCAACACUUGUCACCCUGUUGAUUGCUAGGGUUGACUUGUUUGAUCUGACUGGCUGGGUGGGUGUCCUUUUUCACUGUUCCAUGUGUCCCUCCUGAAGCUGCGUGCUUGGUCGAAGAGGACGACCUUCCCCAAUAGAGACGUACUGUUCACCAGUUAAGGGUGUACAGUAGCUGUGUUCCCCUGCUACAACCUCCUAACAAGCUAAAGGUCCAGUUCUAGGACAAUGUAAGGUAGUCAAGCUUCCAUGACUGCAGACACAUCCAAAUAAGGCACUACACGGGGCAGUCUGCCAUUGCAGUUU
This 317-nucleotide small nuclear RNA is filed under the name Chaetura pelagica (chimney swift). Its description in RNAcentral is "7SK RNA". It matches the Rfam family "7SK RNA". Rfam says of the family: 7SK was discovered as an abundant small nuclear RNA in the mid-70s but a possible function has only recently been suggested. The record is from Rfam by way of RNAcentral. Lineage: Eukaryota; Metazoa; Chordata; Aves; Apodiformes; Apodidae.